AUGGCGGACCUGGUUGUUGGGUUGGCCAAGUCGGUGGUGGAGGGCGCGCUGACCAAGGCCCAGGCGGCUAUCGGGGAGGAGGCCCAGCUCCGGGAGAGCGCGCAGCGCGACCUGGUGUUCAUCACAGGCGAGUUUGAAAUGAUGCACUCAUUUCUCAACGUCGCCACCGCGGAGCGCGUGGAGAACAAGGUGGUGAUGACCUGGGUGCGGCAGGUCCGCGAGCUGGCCUACGAUGUGGAGGACUGCAUCGAGUUUGUUGUCCACCUCGACCCCAAGACUGGUUGGUGGUGGCGCAUGCUCCCGCCUUGGUGCAUAGGGCUGCCACCAUCUCAACUGUCGCUUGAUGAGGCUGUCGGCGAAAUCGAGCAGCUCAAGGCGAGGGUGAAUGAUGUGAGUACCAGGAACUCGCGCUACAACCUCAUCAGCGACUCUGGCUCCAAGGCAGCCGUCAUGCAGCACCACAUGCCUGCGCCUGGCGCCUCACUCGGUGCGCCAGCAUUCAACAUGCUUGCUGAGUCGAGGGACACAGCGAGGAAGCAGCAAGGCUUGGGGGAUCUCACACAGUUGAUCACCAACAAGGACAAUACCGACCCUCACCUUCAGGUGAUCUCCGUGUGGGGAACAAGUGGAGAUCUUGGGACGAUUUCCAUCAUCCGGAAGGCGUACAAUGAUCCAGAAAUCAGCAAGAAAUUUGUGUGCCGUGCCUGGGUCAAGCUGAUGCAUCCUUUUGACCCCCAUGAGUUCGUGCGGCGUUUCAUGGCUCAGGUCUACUCCACAAAGGCUUACGCUGAAAAAUUGGAGGGUACAGAUGUAGGCGUACUUGUCCUCAAGAAAAUGGAGGCGAAGCAAGAAGAUCUCCUCAAGGAAUUUCUGGAAGAAGUCAACACCAAGAUUUACCUCGUUGUCUUGGAGAACCUGACUGAAAUGGUAGAUUGGGAUGCUGUCAGGACAUUUCUUCCUGACAAAAAAAAUGGUAGCUGGAUCAUCGUGUCCACCCAGCAAUUUGACAUCGCAAGCUUGUGCAUCGGACACCCUUACCAACCACUGGAGCUCAAGCAGUUCUCCCCUGAGCACUCGGUUUGUGCCUUCUUCAAGGAGGGUUCUCGCUAUUAUGGAGACGAAGAAGAGAAGCUAAUGUUGUCUAAAGUGAGCCAAAGUUCACCUUUAGAGAAACUUACGUCCGCCAGUAAGAGAGUUGUCAAUGACUGGAUGGAAAAUAACCCUCUUGUUGGACGCGAGUCGGAAAUGAAUGAGCUCCGCAGUUAUACAGCUGGGGCACGUUUCAAAAGUUCCCCAGUUAUAUCUGUUUGGGGAAUAGCUGGUGUUGGAAAAUCAGCUCUUGUUGAAAACUUGUAUUAUGAAAGAAUGCUUCGUGGCCAGUUUGAAAAAUACUGUUGGGUGGAUAUAUCAUAUCCAUUCAAUCUAAGGGAUUUCUCCCGAAGCUUACUUUUGGAUCAUCAUUCAGAAAAAGACCCAAUUAAAGAGUGCCGUCAGCUUCUGAGCAAACAUAAGUAUCUCAUUGUUAUUAAUAAUCUCCGGUCCAAAGAAGACUGGGACUUGAUACAGGCUACCUUGGUGACUAGAUCUUCUGCAAGUGUUAUCAUUGUUAUUACAACAGAAGCUAGUGUGGCCACACAUUGCACAAAUAAUGAAGAUCAAGUCUUUAAUGUGAAAGGUCUAGAAGCUGGUGCCGCCAUGGAUCUGUUCAGGAAAGAGGUGCAGAGGAACAAUCCAUCGUCCGGUUUGAUUGGCCAUCAAAAUGACGAGCUACAAGAACUUAUUAUGAAGUGUGGAGGUCUUCCCAAGGUGAUAGUUUCCAUAGCUGCCUUAUUGGCAACACAGACGGUAACAACCAUGGAUACUGUGCGUUCGUUGAAUAGCAAAUUUAUGCACACUCUAGAGACCAAUCAAGAGUAUGAUAGUCUGCGGGGCCUAUUUGAUUGGAUGUAUUCUUACUUCCGUACUUGCCCGGAUUCAAUUAAGCCAUGUAUCUUCUAUCUAUCAAUUUUUCCUCGAGGCCAUGGCAUUCGACGAAGGCGACUAGUAAGGAGGUGGAUUGCAGAAGGUUACUCUAGAGAUAGUGAUGAAGAAUCUGCGGUGGACAAAGGGGAGAACUUCUUCUCCAAGCUCAUUGAUCUAAGCAUAAUCCAGCAGAUGCCACAGUUAGUCACCACUGCAUUCAGUGACACAAGGAUAGUCAUGUGCCAGGUCAAUGGCUUCAUCCGCGAGUACAUCGUCUCGCGAAGAAUGGAAGAGAACCUUGUCUUUGAACUUGGGCCCAAUUGUGUCCUGACCACUGAACGCAAAGGGCGUCACCUUAUCAUAUUGAAGAAUUGGGUCAGAGACAUAAUUGUAUUUGAGAGCAUUGACUUCUCACGGUUACGAUCGCUCACAGUGUUUGGAAAGUGGGAAUCAUUCUUUAUCUCCAAAAGUAUGAGGUUGCUUCGGGUUCUUGAUCUGGAGGAUGCAUCAGGUUUAAAGGAUGAAGAUCUUAUUGAGAUGGUGAAGCGGCUGCGCCGCCUCAAGUUUUUCUCCUUGAGAGGAUGUAGUGAGAUCUCCCAUCUUCCUAGUUCACUGGGUGAGCUUAGGCAGCUCCAGACACUGGAUGUGAGACACACCUCCGUAGCUAGACUGCCAAAGAACAUCGGGAAGUUACAGAAGCUGCAGUAUGUCCGAGCUGGCACUACCAUCUCAGCAUUGACAUCACCUGCCCCAUCCCGCAGCUUGCUAGAGUUCCGCAGACGUCGUGCCCUACUUGGUGUUGAGGUUCCUAGAGGGAUUGGAAAACUGACAGCCCUGCAUACACUUGGUGUUGCCAAUGUCAUUGCUUCUGGGGGAAAAGCAUUUGUGAAAGAGCUCAAGAAACUCACCCAAUUGCGCAAGCUUGGUGUGUCUGGCAUCAAUAGGCAUAACAGCGAGGACUUCUUCUCUGCAAUCUCAGGUCACGUGCAUUUGGAAUCCUUGUUGGUGCGGCUUGCCGAAGGAAAUCAAGGUUCCUUGGAUGGCAUCUCCCUGCCUUGGGAGAACCUACAGAGUCUUAAACUGCAUGGGCUUCAAGACAAGUUACCUCUAAUUGAGGGCCAACUUAGCAAGCUCAGGAAGUUGGAUGUGGAGAUGGCCACUUUAGAGAAAACUGACAUUGAGUUCCUUGCCAAGCUACCAAACCUGUGUAUUCUACGCCUUCGUGUCAAGCAGCUUCAGGGUGGCAAGCUCCAUUUUUUUCAUGAGUUAUCUGGAUGUGAGUUGACCACAUUCGAAAAGGUGAAGAUCCUUGAGAUUGGUUGCGGCUCCAGCAAUUUACAAGUAAAUUUUGGAUCAAAGUCGAUGAAAAAUCUUGAGCUGCUCGAGAUUGACUACUCAAAUGGAUCAUGUCAGCUUGCCGGCCUGAAUAAUCUGUCUGAACUCAAGGAAGUCUUGCUCAAGGGUACCAAUGAUGAGCAAUUCAGGACAGAGUUUGAGAGAUAUCUUGCCACUCAUCCAAAUAAGCCUGCCGUGAAGCUGGAGAAACUACCAGCAUCAACAUGA
Molecule: ribosomal RNA, 3525 nt
Filed under: Triticum aestivum (bread wheat)
Lineage: Eukaryota; Viridiplantae; Streptophyta; Magnoliopsida; Poales; Poaceae
Description: partial small subunit ribosomal RNA
Source: RNAcentral